RNAcentral lists this ribosomal RNA (270 nucleotides) under uncultured Geobacter sp. Its description in RNAcentral is "partial 16S ribosomal RNA". It matches the Rfam family "Bacterial small subunit ribosomal RNA", at positions 1113 to 1382 of the family's 1533-position model. The record is from RNAcentral. Lineage: Bacteria; Pseudomonadati; Thermodesulfobacteriota; Desulfuromonadia; Geobacterales; Geobacteraceae.
AGUUGCCAUCAUUAGUGGUGGACACUCGUAAGGAGACUGCCGGUGGUCAAACCGGAGGAAGUGGGGAUGACGUCAAGUCCUCAUGGCCCUUAUGACCAGGGCUACACACGUGCUACAAUGGCCGGUACAAAGAGUUGCGAUACCGCGAGGUGGAGCUAAUCUCAUAAAGCCGGUCUCAGUUCGGAUUGGAGUCUGCAACUCGACUCCAUGAAGUUGGAAUCGCUAGUAAUCGCGGAUCAGCAUGCCGCGGUGAAUACGUUCCCGGGCCUU